RNAcentral lists this ribosomal RNA (468 nucleotides) under uncultured bacterium. RNAcentral describes it as "partial 16S ribosomal RNA". The stretch from base 20 to 330 matches the Rfam family "Bacterial small subunit ribosomal RNA", at positions 47 to 358 of the family's 1533-position model. The record is from RNAcentral.
GACGAACGCUGGCGGCGUGCUUAACACAUGCAAGUCGAACGGAAAGGCCCUGCUUUUGUGGGGUGCUCGAGUGGCGAACGGGUGAGUAACACGUGAGUAACCUGCCCUUGACUUUGGGAUAACUUCAGGAAACUGGGGCUAAUACCGGAUAGGAGCUCCUGCUGCAUGGUGGGGGUUGGAAAGUUUCGGCGGUUGGGGAUGGACUCGCGGCUUAUCAGCUUGUUGGUGGGGUAGUGGCUUACCAAGGCUUUGACGGGUAGCCGGCCUGAGAGGGUGACCGGGCACAAUGGGAAUGAGGAAACGGCCAGAAUCCUAAGGGAGGGAAGAGGGGGGAAAAAUGGAAAAAGGGGGGGAGGCUGAAGGCGGAAUGGCGGGGGGGGGGAGGACGGCCUUGGGGUGGUAAACGGCUUUGGCCGGGAAGGAAGGGGGGGGGAGGGAAAUGGGGAAAGAAGAACCGCUUAAUAAGGU